RNAcentral lists this ribosomal RNA (460 nucleotides) under uncultured bacterium. RNAcentral describes it as "partial 16S ribosomal RNA". It matches the Rfam family "Bacterial small subunit ribosomal RNA", at positions 338 to 795 of the family's 1533-position model. The record is from RNAcentral.
CCUACGGGAGGCAGCAGUGAGGAAUAUUGGUCAAUGGACGAGAGUCUGAACCAGCCAAGUAGCGUGAAGGAUGACUGCCCUAUGGGUUGUAAACUUCUUUUAUAUGGGAAUAAAAUGUUCCACGUGUGGGAUUUUGUAUGUACCAUAUGAAUAAGGAUCGGCUAACUCCGUGCCAGCAGCCGCGGUAAUACGGAGGAUACGAGCGUUAUCCGGAUUUAUUGGGUUUAAAGGGAGCGUAGGUGGAUUGUUAAGUCAGUUGUGAAAGUUUGCGGCUCAACCGUAAAAUUGCAGUUGAAACUGGCAGUCUUGAGUACAGUAGAGGUGGGCGGAAUUCGUGGUGUAGCGGUGAAAUGCUUAGAUAUCACGAAGAACUCCGAUUGCGAAGGCAGUUCACUGGACUGCAACUGACACUGAGGCUCGAAAGUGUGGGUAUCAAACAGGAUUAGAUACCCGAGUAGUC